CAGAUUAAUAUUUAGUAAUAAUUUUCAUUUACACUGAAGUUUUUGUCGUGCGAUUCGAUGUGGUCUGA
Molecule: transfer RNA, 68 nt
Filed under: Stolotermes victoriensis
Lineage: Eukaryota; Metazoa; Arthropoda; Insecta; Blattodea; Termopsidae
Description: tRNA-Val
Source: RNAcentral